GGAGAGGUGGCCGAGUGGCUGAAGGCACUCGCCUGCUAAGCGAGUAAGGGGGGAAACCUCCUUCGCGGGUUCGAAUCCCGCCCUCUCCG
This 89-nucleotide transfer RNA is filed under the name Acidobacteriota bacterium. RNAcentral describes it as "tRNA-Ser". It matches the Rfam family "tRNA". From Rfam's summary of the family: Transfer RNA (tRNA) molecules are approximately 80 nucleotides in length. Their secondary structure includes four short double-helical elements and three loops (D, anti-codon, and T loops). RNAcentral also lists the same sequence under 2 other names. Lineage: Bacteria; Pseudomonadati; Acidobacteriota. The record is from RNAcentral.